CUGUGGGGUAGCUUGAGCAUGCCCUCCUUUCUCAGAAAUGGUCCUUCUGGGCUAUGGCCUGUGUCCCCUGUGUGCUCGGCAAGGUCUCUGUGACAGCCUGGAGCCGAACCCACUGCUGUUGAAGAGCAACUACAACUUUCCAGGUUCCACCAUAUUUCACUUGCUGCAGAGAGCUGUUGCUCAGAUCCUGCCUCUGUGAAGACAGCAGUAGAAGGGCCAGGGAAGACACCUAGAGACCAGGGAGGAGGCACCAGGCAUGGACCAUCAUCCUUGCUCCUAGUUUCUGCAGGCGCCAGGAAAUACCAAAGUCUAGAAGGUGAAACUGGCCUAUUUUCUGGUGCACAGAUAAAUGCUAAUAAAAUGAUAAUAAAACCUUC
Long non-coding RNA from Sciurus carolinensis (gray squirrel), 377 nucleotides. RefSeq lists it as uncharacterized. Lineage: Eukaryota; Metazoa; Chordata; Mammalia; Rodentia; Sciuridae. The record is from RefSeq and is a predicted model, not a curated record. The transcript is spliced from 3 exons.